Molecule: non-coding RNA, 74 nt
Organism: Podarcis lilfordi (Lilford's wall lizard)
Lineage: Eukaryota; Metazoa; Chordata; Lepidosauria; Squamata; Lacertidae
Source: the annotation of a GenBank genome assembly
GAAAGACUGUGGCUCAGCGGCAGAACAUCUGCUUAGCAUGCAGAAGGUCCCAGGUUCAAUCCUCAGCAUUUUCA